UGCUUGCAUUGAAUAAGUCUAUGCAAGCAUUGGUAUAUUACGGACAUAUGAAAUCGUAUACGCAGCAACGGAAUACUCGAUUAUAUAGUGCACUCAAUGAUGCGCAGGUAUAGUGCGCAUGUAUCACAAUGCUAUGCAAAUAAUAUGCAAUAUGCUAUUGAUGCGCAAGUAUAUAGCAGUGAUAUACAACUAAUAUGCAGCGUGCUGUAUGAUAUUUGUUUUAUUGCUGUGUAUCAUAGUAAUUAAGAAUGGACAUAAUUGUUAUAGUAUGAUUCAUCUUGAUGCACAUGCAGGAUGCGCAUGUCAAUCAUUCUAGAAGUUAAUGACUUACGUAGGAUUAAGAUGAACCAUUAAAGGUAAUGUACUAAUGAAUCAAUUACGUAGGUUGAUUCAUUAACAUCUCUUUAUUUACAUUAAGUUCUUUGUUAUAUUUUAGUAUAAAUACUGUAAAGUUUGAUUGAAUAAAGACAGUUAUUAACAUCAACUCAACGAGCUUGUUUCUAUUACAUUUCUCCGAGCUCAGGAGAAUUACUUCUACUCUAAGACUGUACCAAUGUGUAAGAAUGCGGUUUUAGCAGAAGGCUGAACAUAAUGGUGACCCCGACGUGAUGUCUUUUUGUAAAAGAUAUCAUCAUUGAACAACGGUCUUAGGGCAGUAGUAGUGUAGUGAAUGUCAAUUAGUUUAUCAAA
Long non-coding RNA from Bradysia coprophila, 690 nucleotides. NCBI's taxonomy places the organism in Eukaryota, Metazoa, Arthropoda, Insecta, Diptera, Sciaridae. The record is from RefSeq and is a predicted model, not a curated record.